Molecule: ribosomal RNA, 326 nt
Filed under: uncultured eukaryote
Lineage: Eukaryota
Description: partial 18S ribosomal RNA
Rfam family: Eukaryotic small subunit ribosomal RNA
Source: RNAcentral
CCCUUAGAUGUUCUGGGCCGCACGCGCGCUACACUGAUGCAUUCAACAAGCCUAGCCUUGACCGAGAGGUCCGGGUAAUCUUUGAAACUGCAUCGUGAUGGGGCUAGAUUAUUGCAAUUAUUAAUAUUCAACGAGGAAUGCCUAGUAAGCGUGAUUCAUCAAAUCGCGUUGAUUACGUCCCUGCCCUUUGUACACACCGCCCGUCGCUCCUACCGAUUGAAUGUGUUGGUGAGGAGCUCGGAUUGGCAGCAGUUGGUGGUUCGCCACCGGCUAUUGCUGAGAAGUCCUCCAAACCGCCCCAUUUAGAGGAAGGAGAAGUCGUAACA